GUAUUAGUUUGGUGCAAAAGUAAUUGCAGUUUUUGCCAUUACUUUUAAUGAAAAACUGCAAUUACUUUUGCUCCAAUCUAAUAAUUA
This is a microRNA precursor of Pan paniscus (pygmy chimpanzee), 87 nucleotides long. The record is from Ensembl. NCBI's taxonomy places the organism in Eukaryota, Metazoa, Chordata, Mammalia, Primates, Hominidae.